Molecule: ribosomal RNA, 274 nt
Filed under: uncultured bacterium
Lineage: Bacteria
Description: partial 16S ribosomal RNA
Rfam family: Bacterial small subunit ribosomal RNA
Source: RNAcentral
AUACGGGGGGUGCAAGCGUUAAUCUGAAUUACUGGGCGUAAAGCGCGCGUAGGCGGUUAAAUAAGUUGGAUGUGAAAUCCCCGGGCUCAACCUGGGAACUGCAUUCAAAACUGUUUAACUAGAGUAUGGUAGAGGGAAGUGGAAUUCCAGGUGUAGCGGUGAAAUGCGUAGAUAUCUGGAGGAACAUCAGUGGCGAAGGCGACUUCCUGGAUCAAUACUGACGCUGAGGUGCGAAAGCGUGGGGAGCAAACAGGAUUAGAUACCCCAGUAGUCC